GGCCUAUCAGCUUGUUGGUGAGGUAAGAGCUUACCAAGGCUACGACGGGUACCGGGUGUGAGAGCAUGACCCGGCUCACUGGGACUGAGACACUGCCCAGACUCCUACGGGAGGCUGCAGUCAAGAAUCUUCCUCAAUGGCCGAAAGGCUGAAGGAGCGACGCCGCGUGUAUGAUGAGGCCCCUCGGGGUGUAAAGUACUUUUAUUAGGGACGAAACAAUGACGGUACCUAAAGAAUAAGGGGCUGCUAACCUCGUGCCAGCAGCAGCGGUAAUACGAGGGCCCCAAGCGUUAUCCGGAUUUAUUGGGCGUAAAGGGUCCGCAGGUGGUUUAGCGCAUCUUCUGUUAAAUCUAUCGGCUCAACCGGUAGACCGCGGGAGAGAUGGCUAGACUAGAGGCCGGGAGAGGUAAGCGGAAUUGCUGGUGUAGGGGUUAAAUCCGUUAAUAUCAGCAGGAACACCAAAUGCGAAGGCAGCUUACUGGAACGCGCCUGACACUCAUGGACGAAAGCGUGGGGAGCGAAUGGGAUUAGAUACCCCAGUAGUCCACGCCGUAAACGAUGGAUGCUAAGCAUUGGCAGUUUCGACCCUGCCAGUGCUGCCUACUCAAGUUAACACCUUAAGCACCCCGCCUGGGGAGUACGG
This 643-nucleotide ribosomal RNA is filed under the name uncultured bacterium. RNAcentral describes it as "bacterial SSU rRNA". It matches the Rfam family "Bacterial small subunit ribosomal RNA", at positions 235 to 885 of the family's 1533-position model. The record is from RNAcentral.